This 473-nucleotide ribosomal RNA is filed under the name Austrelaps superbus (Australian copperhead). Its description in RNAcentral is "partial 16S ribosomal RNA". It matches the Rfam family "Bacterial large subunit ribosomal RNA", at positions 1844 to 2581 of the family's 2925-position model. The record is from RNAcentral. Lineage: Eukaryota; Metazoa; Chordata; Lepidosauria; Squamata; Elapidae.
UAUUAAAGGCAACGCCUGCCCAGUGAAUAAUUAAACGGCCGCGGUACCCUAACCGUGCAAAGGUAGCGUAAUCACUUGUCUAUUAAUUGUAGACCCGUAUGAAAGGCACAAUGAGGGUCUAACUGUCUCUUUUAGUAGAUCAAUUAAACUGAUCUUCUAGUCCAAAAGCUAGAAUGCCAACAUAAGACCAGAAGACCCUGUGAAGCUUUAACUAAACUAUUAGACCCUAUAAUAGCUCCUUUAGGUUGGGGCGACCUUGGAAAAAAAAAGAACUUCCAAACAUAUAAUAUGCAAUUACACCUUACUCGGCCAACAAGCCUACAACGACCCAGCACAGCUGAUAACUGAACCAAGUUACUCCAGGGAUAACAGCGCUAUCUUCUUCAAGAGCCCAUAUCAAAAAGAAGGUUUACGACCUCGAUGUUGGAUCAGGACAUCCUAAUGGUGCAGCCGCUAUUAACGGUUCGUUUGUU